UAGGGAAUUUUCGUCAAUGGGCGCAAGCCUGAACGAGCAAUGCCGCGUGAACGAGGAAGGUCUUCGGAUCGUAAAGUUCUGUUGAAGGGGAAAAGGAGCGGAGAGAGGAAAUGGUCUCCGAUUGAUAUUACCCUUCGAGGAAGUCACGGCUAACUACGUGCC
This 162-nucleotide ribosomal RNA is filed under the name uncultured bacterium. RNAcentral describes it as "partial 16S ribosomal RNA". It matches the Rfam family "Bacterial small subunit ribosomal RNA", at positions 355 to 509 of the family's 1533-position model. The record is from RNAcentral.